RNAcentral lists this ribosomal RNA (498 nucleotides) under uncultured bacterium. RNAcentral describes it as "partial 16S ribosomal RNA". It matches the Rfam family "Bacterial small subunit ribosomal RNA", at positions 28 to 507 of the family's 1533-position model. The record is from RNAcentral.
GACGAACGCUGGCGGCGUGCCUAAUACAUGCAAGUCGAACGAGAGCGACCGGUGCUUGCACUGGUCAAUCUAGUGGCGAACGGGUGAGUAACACGUGGGUAACCUGCCCAUCAGAGGGGGAUAACAUCCGGAAACGGAUGCUAAAACCGCAUAGGUCUUCGAACCGCAUGGUUUGAAGAGGAAAAGAGGCGCAAGCUUCUGCUGAUGGAUGGACCCGCGGUGCAUUAGCUAGUUGGUGAGGUAACGGCUCACCAAGGCCGUGAUGCAUAGCCGACCUGAGAGGGUGAUCGGCCACAUUGGGACUGAGACACGGCCCAAACUCCUACGGGAGGCAGCAGUAGGGAAUCUUCCGCAAUGGACGCAAGUCCGACGGAGCAACGCCGCGUGAGUGAAGAAGGUUUUCGGAUCGUAAAACUCUGUUGUUAGAGAAGAACAAGUGCUAGAGUAACUGUUAGCGCCUUGACGGUAUCUAACCAGAAAGCCACGGCUAACUACGUG